Molecule: ribosomal RNA, 253 nt
Filed under: uncultured bacterium
Lineage: Bacteria
Description: partial 16S ribosomal RNA
Rfam family: Bacterial small subunit ribosomal RNA
Source: RNAcentral
GACGAACCGAGCAAACGUUAUUCGGAAUCACUGGGCUUAAAGGGCGCGUAGGCGGGUCGCCAAGUCGGUGGUGAAAUCCUCCAGCUCAACUGGAGAACUGCCGCGGAUACUGGCGACCUAGAGGAAGGUAGGGGCAUCUGGAACUGGUGGUGGAGCGGUGAAAUGCGUUGAUAUCAUCAGGAACUCCGGUGGCGAAGGCGAGAUGCUGGCCCUUUACUGACGCUGAGGCGCGAAAGCCAGGGGAGCAAACGGG